CAGUAGCCGCGGGAAUACGUAAGUGGCAAGCGUUGUCCGGAAUUAUUGGGCGUAAAGGGCUCGCAGGCGGUUUCUUAAGUCUGAUGUGAAAGCCCCCGGCUCAACCGGGGAGGGUCAUUGGAAACUGGGAAACUUGAGUGCAGAAGAGGAGAGUGGAAUUCCACGUGUAGCGGUGAAAUGCGUAGAGAUGUGGAGGAACACCAGUGGCGAAGGCGACUCUCUGGUCUGUAACUGACGCUGAGGAGCGAAAGCGUGGGGAGCGAACAGGAUUAGAUAUCCGCGUAGUCCCUGUCUCUUAUAC
Molecule: ribosomal RNA, 301 nt
Filed under: uncultured bacterium
Lineage: Bacteria
Description: partial 16S ribosomal RNA
Rfam family: Bacterial small subunit ribosomal RNA
Source: RNAcentral